GACGUAGGGCGCGAGCGUUGUCCGGAUUUAUUGGGCGUAAAGAGCUCGUAGGCGGUCUGUCGCGUCGGCUGUGAAAACUCGGGGCUCAACCCCGAGCCUGCAGUCGAUACGGGCAGACUAGAGUGCGGUAGGGGAGACUGGAAUUCCUGGUGUAGCGGUGAAAUGCGCAGAUAUCAGGAGGAACACCGGUGGCGAAGGCGGGUCUCUGGGCCGUAACUGACGCUGAGGAGCGAAAGCGUGGGGAGCAAACAGG
This 253-nucleotide ribosomal RNA is filed under the name uncultured bacterium. RNAcentral's name for it is "partial 16S ribosomal RNA". It matches the Rfam family "Bacterial small subunit ribosomal RNA", at positions 524 to 776 of the family's 1533-position model. The record is from RNAcentral.